CCCUCGCAUUCGUGCGAGUCCUCACCGGAAAAAAUUCUAGAAUGCAACGGAUAUAUUAAUGACGUGGCGUAACAAAUUAAUCAAAUUAAUACUUUUAAAAAUAUAUGUCCCAUCAUGAUUGUAAAAAAGUAUUUUUAUUGUACUUUUGUUUGAAAAGAAGGAAUGUGAUUGGCUUGUUAUUGAUGACGUGGUGCAAGUGUGACAGUGUAGAAUUCCUCCCUCACCGGAUGGCUACACUUUGAAUAUUAAUCUGUUCAUCAU
RNAcentral lists this long non-coding RNA (261 nucleotides) under Ananas comosus (pineapple). RNAcentral's name for it is "long non-coding RNA (ACOM_LNC034942)". Lineage: Eukaryota; Viridiplantae; Streptophyta; Magnoliopsida; Poales; Bromeliaceae. The record is from RNAcentral.